UACGAAGGGGGCUAGCGUUGUUCGGAUUUACUGGGCGUAAAGCGCACGUAGGCGGAUUGUUAAGUCAGGGGUGAAAUCCCAGAGCUCAACUCUGGAACUGCCUUUGAUACUGGCAAUCUAGAGUCCGGAAGAGGUGAGUGGAACUCCUAGUGUAGAGGUGGAAUUCGUAGAUAUUAGGAAGAACACCAGUGGCGAAGGCGGCUCACUGGCCCGGUACUGACGCUGAGGCGCGAAAGCGUGGGGAGCAAACAGG
RNAcentral lists this ribosomal RNA (253 nucleotides) under uncultured bacterium. Its description in RNAcentral is "partial 16S ribosomal RNA". It matches the Rfam family "Bacterial small subunit ribosomal RNA", at positions 524 to 776 of the family's 1533-position model. The record is from RNAcentral.